Long non-coding RNA from Brienomyrus brachyistius, 366 nucleotides. RefSeq lists it as uncharacterized. The transcript has 3 exons. The record is from RefSeq and is a predicted model, not a curated record. NCBI's taxonomy places the organism in Eukaryota, Metazoa, Chordata, Actinopteri, Osteoglossiformes, Mormyridae.
GUAACGCAGUCACAUAGUUGCAGUCGUGCUUUAGAAAAGUUAUGUAUUAAUGCUUACAAUUUAUUAAGGGUUACUUUUUUACAUCUGCAGCUGAAAACAUAACGCCUAUCAAGUUGUGACUGGGAGAAGCGGUAACCGGGCCCGACCAGCUGGAUGUCGCAGCCAGAGAGAGUGCUCCCCUCACUGGUGAACUGCACCGCCAGGGGGGACGGCUUGCCUGAGCCCUCAGGUGGCUGGAACCUGCAGAGCAGUGACCCCACCCCUGGGAAGGGUCGAGAGAGUGGCCAGAUUUCUGGGAUAUAUCUGGAAUCUUCCACAGAAUUCUCUGCUGUUCAGCAUUCCUAGAAGAGAUUAAAUGAAGUAAAC